Molecule: ribosomal RNA, 274 nt
Filed under: uncultured bacterium
Lineage: Bacteria
Description: partial 16S ribosomal RNA
Rfam family: Bacterial small subunit ribosomal RNA
Source: RNAcentral
AUACGGAGGGUCCAAGCGUUAUCCGGAUUCAUUGGGUUUAAAGGGUCCGCAGGCGGGAAAAUAAGUCAGUGGUGAAAGCCUACAGCUCAACUGUAGAACUGCCAUUGAUACUGUUUUCCUUGAGUAUAGAUGAAGUGGGCGGAAUAUAUCAUGUAGCGGUGAAAUGCAUAGAUAUGAUAUAGAACACCGAUUGCGAAGGCAGCUCACUAAACUAUUUCUGACGCUCAGGGACGAAAGCGUGGGGAGCGAACAGGAUUAGAAACCCUUGUAGUCC